GACGAACGCUGGCGGCGUGCUUAACACAUGCAAGUCGAGCGGUAAGGCCCUUUCGGGGGUACACGAGCGGCGAACGGGUGAGUAACACGUGGGUGACCUGCCCUUAGCUCUGGGAUAAGCCUGGGAAACUGGGUCUAAUACCGGAUAUGACUCCAUGACGCAUGUUGUGGGGUGGAAAGCCUUGUGCGGCUAGGGAUGGGCCCGCGGCCUAUCAGCUUGUUGGUGGGGUGAUGGCCACCAAGGCGACGAUGGGUAGCCGGCCUGAGAGGGCGACCGGCCACACUGGGACUGAGACACGGCCCAGACUCCUACGGGAGGCAGCAGUGGGGAAUCUUGCGCAAUGGGCGAAAGCCUGACGCAGCGACGCCGCGUGAGGGAUGACGGCCU
Molecule: ribosomal RNA, 387 nt
Filed under: uncultured bacterium
Lineage: Bacteria
Description: bacterial SSU rRNA
Rfam family: Bacterial small subunit ribosomal RNA
Source: RNAcentral